Molecule: transfer RNA, 72 nt
Filed under: Podarcis lilfordi (Lilford's wall lizard)
Lineage: Eukaryota; Metazoa; Chordata; Lepidosauria; Squamata; Lacertidae
Description: tRNA.Leu
Rfam family: tRNA (bases 5-63)
About the family: Transfer RNA (tRNA) molecules are approximately 80 nucleotides in length. Their secondary structure includes four short double-helical elements and three loops (D, anti-codon, and T loops).
Source: RNAcentral
UAGAUAGCUCAGUUGGUUAGAGCAUGGUGCUGAGAAUGCAAAGGUUUCAGGUUCGAUCCCUGUACAGGACAG